Xenia sp. Carnegie-2017 is the source of this 863-nucleotide long non-coding RNA. RefSeq lists it as uncharacterized. NCBI's taxonomy places the organism in Eukaryota, Metazoa, Cnidaria, Anthozoa, Malacalcyonacea, Xeniidae. The record is from RefSeq and is a predicted model, not a curated record. The transcript is spliced from 3 exons.
UUAUCCAGUGUAAUCCCACAAAAGACAAUAAAAAAAAACAGGAAUGAUUAAAAGGUAAUCCAAGGGAUCAACUUUUGUUUAAGAAGUGUAAAGGACGUGGGUCGAACGGGCAAAAUGGUUUACUGUUUUGCUCCUACAUGUGGCCGUUUGUCGGAGGGCAACACUUGCAAGUUCUUUGCUUUUCCAAGCGCUACAAAGCAGAACGACGAGUUCAAGAGAUGGUUCGACUCAUAAGGUGAAGAGUUGACAUCAGGACAUGAGGGAGAAUCAUCGAAUACUGAAUUAUAGAAGCUUCAGCUAGUUGUCUUUUUAACGGUCGCUUUGUAUUUUCCGUAGCCAAAACCUUAAAUCUGAGUGUUUUGGAAGAUUUCUUUUCUUUUGAGAAGAAAGAAAAAAGCGAAGCGAUGGAUAAUGUCUCCAUUUUGAAUCGAAUGGGCGUUUGUUUGGAACUGAGAUUUUUAGCACCAUGGAAACGUGACGUCACCACUUAAGGACUCUAUAUUAACUAAUUAGAACAAAUGUAUUUUUCAAUGUUGUAUUUUCUAUUUGUGAAAAAGGAAAUUUUCAAAUUUUCAAAUUCCUUAAAUCCAGUGUUUACUUGAAUCAAAUACGGACGAGAAUAAAGAUCGGAACAUCGCGAGAGCUUGGAAAAUUGAAUACGUCACUGAAAACGUCACAAACCAUUUUCACGACAGACAUCGAAUAAUAAUCGGCGAAUACCGAUAGUUUUUUUCCACCGGAGGUUUCCGAGAAUUGGUAAAGUCAGUCAUGUAAACUCAAACUGUAAACUUGUUCGUCUGUAUUUAAAGUAUUACCGUUUGAGGUUCUUGAAAAGUUUUCAAUGAAAAAUGCAACUGAUUGAA